This 355-nucleotide ribosomal RNA is filed under the name Mantidactylus cowanii. RNAcentral describes it as "partial large subunit ribosomal RNA". It matches the Rfam family "Bacterial large subunit ribosomal RNA", at positions 1970 to 2492 of the family's 2925-position model. The record is from RNAcentral. Lineage: Eukaryota; Metazoa; Chordata; Amphibia; Anura; Mantellidae.
UGUUCUUUAAAUAGGGACUUGUAUCAACGGCAUCACGAGGGUUGCACUGUCUCCUUUUUCUAAUCAGUGAAACUAAUCUCCCCGUGAAGAAGCGAGGAUAUUACUAUAAGACGAGAAGACCCCAUGGAGCUUUAAACCCAACUACAUCCCUAUCCCCAACAACUACUUAACCAAUUGGGUAUUGUAUGCUUGGUUUUAGGUUGGGGCGACCAUGGAGUAAAAAAUAACCUCCACGAUGAAUGGGCUUACCCCCUUAUCUAAGAGCUACACCUCUAAGAAUUAAAAUAUUAAUAUAAAAUGAUCCUUUCUUGAUCAACGGACCAAGUUACCCUGGGGAUAACAGCGCAAUCCAUUU